RNAcentral lists this long non-coding RNA (4639 nucleotides) under Gossypium barbadense (sea-island cotton). Its description in RNAcentral is "long non-coding RNA (GBAR_LNC020839)". The record is from RNAcentral. Lineage: Eukaryota; Viridiplantae; Streptophyta; Magnoliopsida; Malvales; Malvaceae.
AAAAAGAUAAAAUAGAAAAUAACCAUAAAAAACGUUUAAACCCGAGAGCCUCUCCAAUGUCCGAAUUUGAGUCCUAACCACAAGGAUUAUCUGAAACACAUAAGCAAUAGGGGAUGAGCAUAAAAAGGCUCAGUGUGAGAUCAAAACAUAAUAAAUAUAUACUUGCAUACAUAUCAACAUACAUAUAACAAUCACAAUAUAAUCAUACAUCAUCAAGAUCACGGAAUUUAACACUAAUUACUAUGCAUGAACAUGUCGUUGCAUGUUUAAAAUCGAUGCACAUUUUAUAAAAUUUCUACCCAUCUCCACAACACACCAAUAUCGAGUUCCCCAGAACUUGUCCAUCUAAAACACCAUUUGUGGACAUGCCACCACUGAUUUGCAGAUAAACUGCCACUGAUAACAUUGAUGUGGGUAAGCCACCACUGAUAUGUAGAUUUACUGUCAUUGCUUCCACCUUUCACAAUAUCCCACCCCAUGCAUGUGACAUGGCAAUUACACUUUUAACACAUGUAAAUCACUUUAAUAGUUAGGCAUAUAGAUAUGCUCACAUAAUCACAUUUCACUAGUCAUCACUUUUACAUAUUUAAUCAUGCUUGUCACAUUAGAUUAUAGAUCUCAAUAUUCACAUAUUCAUAUAUAUAUAAAUAUAUAUCACAUACUUAAAUCACCAAAUAUAAUAUAUAAACCAUGCAACACAUGUCAUGAGAACGAGAUUUAUACAUAUAUUUUUAUUAUAAUGAUAGUCACAUCAUAUCACAUAUCUCAUACAUUCCACAAAAAGUAUUUCGGUUAGAGUCAUUUACUUAGGUACUUUGUAUUGAGUUUUUUAACCACUCCACUUCGAAUACAUAAUAUACUCACCAUUAUUUAUAAUUUAAUUAUUAAUAUAAUAAAAAUAAUUAUGUUACACAUAAUGAGUAUAAUCGAUCUCACACCUUAAAUUGUAGAUUCGAUUUGCUUCAACCCUUAUUACUAAGUUUUACUCGAUCUACCUUGCAGGACAAUCUGUUACAUAAUUAACACAUAUUAGUAUGAAUCUUUGAAAAUGUUUCGUCACUUUAGACCACUAAGAUAAAUAAUUAGUUACUAAACCACUUGACCAUUAAUUCCCUUGUGUCCAAUCUUGCACAUUAAUUUAAAAUAUAGAAGAUGACAGUUCCACUUUUGCUUAAUUAAUCAAAAAGUGGGAUGUGACAGGAUUUAUGUGAGCAGACUCCAACUGAUGAUAUUCUUUCAGAAAUAAUAGAGACAAAGUAAGACCUUAAUUUGGAAAUGGACAAAGUGGAGAUGUAUUCCAAACAGAGAGCCCGGUACAAUUGGCUUUGAUAUGGCAAUCAGAAUACGAGGUAUUUUCACAAUUUUACCUCUUCUCGUCGCCGUACGAAUCGAAUAAACAGACUGCUAGAUAGGAAUGGCCUUUUAACAUCAGAUAUUGAUGAAUUGAAUAAUAUUUUUGUUGAUUAUUACGAUAAUAUUUUUACUAGCAAUGGGUGUGAUGGUGCUACUAGUGUUUUUACAAAAGUUCAACGAUGUAUCAUUGAAAGAAUGAAUGAGAUGCUUUGAGCCAAAUUUAAGGGAGAAGAGGUUCUAACAGCGGUGAAGGAAAUGGGGUCAACUAAAGCACCGAGUAAAGAUGGGUUUUUGCUCUAUUUUACCAGCGAUUUUAGGCUAUAAUAAGAGAUGAGGUGACGAAAUACUGCUUGAGAAUGUUGCACCGUGAAAUUGCGUUGAAUGAGGUAAACCACAUUCACAUUGUUUUGAUCCCUAAAGUAUCAACGCCUGAUACAAUGUCCUUAUUCCAUCCGAUUAGUCUAUGCUUUGUUUUUUAUAAGAUAUCUCAAAAGUUAUUGCUAAUAGACUUAAAAGAGUUCUUGAUUGUUGUAUUGAUGAGGCUUAGGGGCCUUUUAUUCCCAGGAGAUUAAUUUCGGAUAACAUUUUAACUACUUAUAAGAUAUUGCAUGCUUUUAAAAGGCGUAGGUACGGAAGGAAAUGUGCUUUUGCUUUAAAACUAAACAUGAGCAAAGCGUAUGAUAGAGUUGAAUGGGAGUUUCUUAAAGAUAUGAUGUCUAUAGGCUUUGAUUUAGAGUUGUUUUCUUUAAUCAUUCACUGUAUUACUUCUAUUUCUUAUUCGAUUGUUAUAAAUGGAGAUAUAAGUUCUUGUUUUAAUCCGGGGGCAAUCCUCUAAGCCUUUAUUUAUUUUUGAUAUGUACAGAAGGUUUUGCUACUUUAUUGCAUGAAGCGAAUGAAACUUGUAGAUUAGAUGGGGUGAGAGUUUGUCCAAGAGGGCCUUCGGUGACGCACCUAUUCUUUGCUAAUGACAGUGUGGUUUUUGGUGAAGCUUCCAGUGAAGGCAGUCAGGUUAUUCAGUCAUUUUACAACAUUAUGAAAAGUGCUCUGGACAACAUAUUAAUUUGGAAAAGUCUUAGAUUUAUUUAAAGCUCUAAUGUCCAAAAUAGUAUGUGUUGUUAGCUUACUAAUCAAUUGGGUAUAAGGAGAGUACUUAAUCCAGAGAAUUACCUAGGCCUACCCACGAUGGUUGGAAGGAGGAAGAAAGAGGCCUUUCAACACUUGAAGGACCGUAUGAAAGCGAGGAUAAAUAACUGGAGCGUUGAAAUGCUUUCACUAGAGGGUAAGGAGAUUUUUAUCAAAUCUGUUCUUCCGGCGCUAUCUGCUUACGAGAUGUCAUGUUUUCUUGUCCCUAAGUCUUUAUGCAAUGAUCUUGAGGCUAUCAUUAGCCAAUUUUGGUGGCAGAAAGGCCAUAAUAGAAAAGGAGUUCAUUAGUGUAAAUGGAAGGAUCUUUGCUAUUUAAAGGAGGGUGGAUUGGAAAUCUUUCUAAAUUCAAUACUGCAUUUUUGGCUAAGCAAGGCUGGAGAUCCAUUACUAAGCCCAUGAAUUUUUAAAGCCAAAUAUUUCACUAAUUCUAGCUUUUGGGAGGCAAAGUUAGGGUCUCAUCCAUCCUACGUUUGGUGAAGCAUAUGGGCUGCUCGAGAUUUUAUUGGAGAAGGGUUCUGGAUGGAGGGUUGGUAUUGGUUCUUCUAUUUCAAUUUGGAAUGAUUAUUGGCUCCUUUUUCAGCAGGUUGUUGUAUACAAGAAUCGAUUGUUAAUGACUCAAUUAGAAUUGUUUCAGGUCUCAUAAAUAUGGAGACAAGGACAUGGUAAGAGGAGAUUAUUACCAAUGUCUUUUAUCCGAAGGAAGCUGAUGCGAUUCUCUGCAUUCCUGUAUCACAACACAUAGGUGAGGAUAAGAUUGUUUGGCUGGGGCAUACUGGCGACUAUUCUGUCCGAAGUGGUUACCGUCUUCUUUUACAAUCUCAGCAACUAGAGACUUUUCCUAAUGAUUACAGGAAAUUUUACAAAAAACUUUGGCAAAUACAAGUGCCAUCCAAGAUCAAAAUUACAGUCUGGCGAAUUCUACACAAUUACAUCCCUACUAGAGCUAAUCUUUUUACAAGAAGAGUGAUUGCGUCUCCCAGUUGCCUCAGAUGUAAUAGAGAGGUUGAAACUAAUGCAGAUGCAAUGAUGGGUUGUGAAUCUACAAAAAUCAUAUGGAAAGUUUGGGUUUUAAUGGCCUAAAUAUUGCUGAUGUAGAGGAAUUAUGGGAAUGGUUCGCACAGAGACUAAAAAAUGAUCAACCAAUUACCUGUAGGUCUAUUCUGAUCACUGCUUGGGCAAUUUGGUUUGGGCGUAACAAACAAGUGAUGGAAGGAAAAGUUCUCUCUAUCCACGAUAUCAACAUCAAAAUUAGGAGUUUGGCAAAGGAUUAGAUCAAAAAAAUAACCCUUUACCUGGUUCUCAGCAAGAUCCUCGAGCGAACUGGAAUCCCUUAAACGAGAAUUUUAUUAAACUGAAUUUUGAUGUUGCAUACAAAGGAAAUUCAAGAACCUCUUGUUCAGGAUUUGUAAUCGGGAAUUCAAAUGGUCAAAUCAUGGGUAGUGGUUUUAAACAAAACAGGAACAUAUCUUAUGCCUUCUCGGCUGAGGCUCUCUCAUGUUUGCAGGGUCCAACUUUCGCAAAUGAUAUGGGGUUUAGUCGUCUGAUCGUGGAGAGUGAUGCUUGUACCAUUAUCUCCAGAAUAGAACGAGAUAGAGAAGAUAGAUCGAAGAUCGGGCCCUACAUCAAAGACAUAAAAGUUCUAUCUCAAGCUUUUAGAUCUAUCAAGUUCUGCUUUACUCCUAGAACUGCGAACAAAGCUUCCCACAUUAUGGCUCAAGAGGGAUUCAAAGGAGAAGAGGACACCUACUGGGUUGAGGAAGCUCCUGACGCUGUUAUGGCAGCAGUGGAGGAAGAUAGACGAUGGAUUGACCCCCUUGAUAAUCUGUCAUUUGAUGUUGCUGAUCUAUGGCUAAUGUUGUGUUCUAUGGAAAGCCACAUUAUUCUAGUCGUUUGCUGCUAAGAUUGGAGGAGAUUUUAGUGGAAUAUUAAGAGCCGAAGUUGUGUUGAAGAAAGGAAACAAUAUAUUGAUUGUAGCGUUGGACUACUUUAUUUUCUUUUAAUAAAAGCUUCGGUCUUAUCCUUCAGAAAAAGAAAAAAAAGAAAAAGUAAUCAUCAUCUAGUGAUGCAUUAUCCAUGCGGGUAGAAUUUUAUUAACGGUUUUAACACUAAAUAUCAUAGUAAAAUAUAUAUAGAUAGUUCAAAU